UGCCUAGGAGGUUUUAGGUUAUUUCGCUCAAAACGAUGUCGUUUUGAGUGAAAUAACCCAUUUAAAAAACAAAGGGAUCAAUAGCUAAUCGACCGACUAGGUGACCUAGUCGGUGCCUAGACGGCUUAAUCAGUGCUUAGGAGGCCU
Ipomoea nil (Japanese morning glory) is the source of this 147-nucleotide long non-coding RNA. RefSeq lists it as uncharacterized. The record is from RefSeq and is a predicted model, not a curated record. Lineage: Eukaryota; Viridiplantae; Streptophyta; Magnoliopsida; Solanales; Convolvulaceae. The transcript has 3 exons.